Cotesia glomerata is the source of this 809-nucleotide long non-coding RNA. RefSeq lists it as uncharacterized. Lineage: Eukaryota; Metazoa; Arthropoda; Insecta; Hymenoptera; Braconidae. The record is from RefSeq and is a predicted model, not a curated record. The transcript has 2 exons.
AGAUCCAGUAAGUAAACAACAACAAGCUGGAAUAGUGUAUAGAAUACCUUGCUCAUGUGGGUUGUGUUAUGUUGGACAAACCAAACAAUAUUUAAAUAAUAGAGUAAAACAACAUAUAUACGAUUGUAAAAAUAUUAACGUAGUAAAAGAGAACAAAACGGCACUAGCAGCGCAUUAUUUUGAUCAACAUCAUAAUUUCACGUUUGAAAAUGUAGAAAUUUUAGACAAAGAAAUUAAUUGGUGGAAGCGUAAUGUAAGUGAAAUGAUCUUUAUCAAAAUAAAUGAUACUGUGAAUAAAAGAACUGACACUAAUAAUUUAAGUAUUUUAUAUAAUGAUAUAUUAAGAGAUUAUAAAUCUAAAAGAAGGAAAUAAUUUUAAUUGUAAUUGUGAUUUGUAUAAUUUUUACAUUGUAAGGAAAGUUGAUAUUUAUUUUGUAUUUAUAUUUAAUUUGAAUUUAAUACUUAGCGCGUUUGGCGCUAGUAUAGAUGACAGAUGUUUUUAGAUUGUAUAGUAUGAUUCAUGUACCUAAUGUUUUGGAGGCGGGCUAAUUGGUGCCAUGCAAUUAACAAUUUUUAUAAGUGUCGUGUUGACUUUAUUUCUGGAGUUUGUAAUUAAUUAAUAAAUUUACCAGUUUUAUUAAUUCUGUAAAGAUUUAUAUGACUAAGGCAACUGUGCAAUGUAAGAUAGUGAUUGUUAGAAUUCGUAUUAUGAUGCCUGAGGAAGGUCAAAUAAAUGACCGAAACGUCGCAGAAAUAAUAAUGUAAUUUGUUAUUAUGAUCCUAUCUUGUCCACAUUCCUGAGAUAAAAA